CUUCACUGCAUUAGCUGUUCACACUAAACCAGACAGGAUCUCAGAACAAAUGAGGUAGGACUGACGAAUCUACCCUGCCAUGCUGCCAGCAAAUUCUAGCAAAGGCUUACCCACUGCAACCCUGCACAGGACCAGUGGAGGCAGGGUGUAAUUGAAUACAACAUUCUUUUGGAAUGCGCAGGUAGGUUCCUGUAGAACAAUGCUGUGGUCCAUUAUUCACCACUCAGCAUUUUCCUUUAUUAGUAAAGAAGCACAGUUACUUCUGAGCAAGAAUAUGUUGGAAAAAGGUUCUCCAGAGAUUAAGAUGCUGUAACCCCAACACUGACCAGAUUUUCACUGUUGAAAUCUUACCCACGCUUCAAGGCUGAGCUCAGGAAACUGAUGAGAGAGGGCGUCCUUCUGGGGAAAAUUAGUCAAGCCACUGGAACAAGUCUGUCCCAGAUAAAAUUACUUUCUUACUCAUGUGGAGCUUUUUUUCCCCAUCUCAACCAUUACGGUAUUUCCUCAGGGUAGUCUCUCAAUGAGUUACUUCCACAAGAAUUCCUAUCUCAAGCUCUAGGAACCUGACCUGAGAUUGAUAGAGUGACAAAGUCUAGUUCAAAAAGACUUCUCACAGUGCUUGGAUCAUAGUAGAAGAUCAACGAACACUCAAGAUUUGAAUAAAGUUUAUGCUAAGUAG
Molecule: long non-coding RNA, 679 nt
Organism: Canis lupus familiaris (dog)
Lineage: Eukaryota; Metazoa; Chordata; Mammalia; Carnivora; Canidae
Exons: 4
Source: RefSeq, a predicted model, not a curated record